Panicum virgatum (switchgrass) is the source of this 3998-nucleotide RNA transcript. It is a transcript of the gene named calcium-transporting ATPase 1, plasma membrane-type-like, with no coding region annotated. The record is from RefSeq and is a predicted model, not a curated record. NCBI's taxonomy places the organism in Eukaryota, Viridiplantae, Streptophyta, Magnoliopsida, Poales, Poaceae. The transcript is spliced from 6 exons.
UCCGAUGCAUGGGGCCAGAUUGGGAGGUUGUUAGACUGUCCACAGCGAGAAGAGCAAAUGAAGGAGCAAAUGUACUGUUUGGCACUGUAGAUGUACUGUUUGGCACUGUAGACAGAGGGGGCGUGGAAAUCGAGGAGGAGAUGCUCCUGAGUUUGCUCGGCCCGUUGUGGACAGCCUUAGAGUUCUGAUCCCGUCAAAGCUGCUGCCGCGAGGUCCCUGCUACUCGGACUCCGCGGCAGGUGGGUCGGUAGCCCGCGCUCCCAGAACCAGAAGCCACCCAUCACCAUUGCCUGCCUGUGCCUGCGGAACAAAACAAAGGAGAUCGGCCGGGGGAGAAGAAGAGGUAGAUGGCCAUGGAGUUGCAGACCUGAUUGCCAGGAACUCAAGAACGGGCGCAGCUGAUAGGCAGCUGUGAUUGUUGAUUAGAAGAGGAGCAGGGGUUCAGGUUCAGUUCUUCGGCAGGUCGAGGGCCCCGGCGAUCAUGGCGUACCUGCGGAACAAGUCGAUGGAGUUCCUCAAGAGGUUCGAGGUGCCGGCCAAGAACCCGUCGGAGGAUGCGCAGCGCCGGUGGCGGGAGGCCGUCGGCACGCUCGUCAAGAACCGCCGCCGCCGCUUCCGCAUGGUCCCCGACCUCGACAAGCGGUCGCAGGUCGAGACGCAGCGUCGCAAGAUACAGGAGAAUCUUCGUGUUGCACUGUACGUGCAGAAGGCUGCACUGCAGUUCAUCGAUGCCGCCCGCAAGGCGGAGCACCCGUUGCCGGAGGUGGCGCGGCAAUGCGGCUUCUCCAUCAGCGCGGAGGAGCUGGCCACCGUGGUGCGCAACCACGACACCAAGAGCCUGAGGCACCACAGGGGCGUCGACGGCAUCGCCCGGAAGAUCAACGCCUCCCUCGCCGACGGCAUCAAGUCCGACGACACGGGCAUCCGGGCCGAGGUGUACGGCGCCAACCAGUACACGGAGAAGCCCCCGAGGACGUUCUGGAUGUUCCUGUGGGACGCCAGCCAGGACAUGACGCUCCUGCUCCUCGCCAUGUGCGCGCUCAUCUCCGUCGUCAUCGGCCUGGCCACCGAGGGAUGGCCCAACGGCAUGUACGACGGCCUCGGCAUCGUGCUCACCAUCUUCCUCGUGGUCAUGAUCACCGCUGCCAGCGACUACAAGCAGUCGCUGCAGUUCCGGGACCUCGACAAGGAGAAGAAGAAGAUCGACAUGCACGUCACCCGCGACGGCUACCGGCAGAAGGUGUCCAUCUACGACAUCGUCGUCGGCGACAUCGUCCACCUGUCCAUCGGCGACCAGGUGCCGGCCGACGGCCUCUACAUCGACGGCUACUCGUUCGUGGUCGACGAGUCGAGCCUCUCAGGCGAGAGCGAGCCCGUGCACCUGUCGAGCGCCAAGCCGUUCCUGCUCGGCGGGACAAAGGUGCAGGACGGCUCGGCGCGGAUGCUGGUGACGGCCGUCGGGAUGCGGACCGAGUGGGGGAACCUGAUGGAGACGCUGAGCCAGGGCGGCGAGGACGAGACGCCGCUGCAGGUCAAGCUCAACGGCGUGGCCACCAUCAUCGGCAAGAUCGGGCUGGCGUUCGCGGUGCUCACCUUCACGGUGCUCAUGGCGCGCUUCCUGGCGGGCAAGGCUCGCGCGCCCGGCGGGCUGCUGCGGUGGAGCGGCGAGGACGCGCUCUCGGUGCUCAACUUCUUCGCCGUCGCCGUCACCAUCAUCGUCGUCGCCGUGCCCGAGGGGCUGCCGCUCGCCGUCACGCUCAGCCUGGCCUUCGCCAUGAAGAAGCUCAUGCAGGAGCGCGCGCUCGUGCGGCACCUCUCGGCGUGCGAGACCAUGGGGUCGGCGAGCUGCAUCUGCACCGACAAGACCGGCACGCUCACCACCAACCACAUGGUCGUCGAGAAAGUCUGGGCCUCCGGGGCGGCGCAGACCGUGAGCACCGCCAAGGGCUUCGACGGGCUCAAGUCGUCCGUGUCGGAAAACUUCACCAAGGUGCUGCUCGAGGGCGUCUUCCAUUGCUCCGGCUCGGAGGUGGUCACCAACAAGGACGGCAAGACCACCAUCAUGGGCACGCCCACCGAGACGGCCAUCCUCGAGUUCGGCCUCGAGGUGGAGAAGUACACCAAAGUGGAGCGCUGCAGCGCCAUGAAGCUCAAGGUGGAGCCCUUCAACUCGGUGAAGAAGACGAUGGCCGUGGUCGUCGCGUCCCCGCACGCCGCCGGCCACCCCCGCGUGAUCCUCAAGGGCGCGUCCGAGGUCGUCCUGAGGCGGUGCGGCUCCAUCAUCGACGGCACCGGGAGCGUCGAGAAGCUCACGGAUGCCAAGGCCAAGCGCGUGGCCAGCGCCAUCGACGCGUUCGCGUGCGAGGCGCUGCGCACGCUCUGCCUGGCGUACCAGGACGUGACCAGCGGCAGCGACAUCCCCAACGAUGGGUACACGCUCAUCGCGGUGUUCGGCAUCAAGGACCCCCUCCGUCCAGGGGUGAGGGAGGCCGUCCAGACGUGCCGCGCUGCAGGUAUCAAUGUCCGCAUGGUCACCGGUGACAACAUCAGCACGGCCAAGGCGAUUGCGAGGGAGUGCGGCAUCCUAACCGAUGAUGGGAUUGCCAUCGAGGGGCCCGACUUCCGGGCCAAGACCCCCAACGAGAUGAAGGAGAUCAUACCCAGAAUCCAGGCACGUAGCUGCUGCAUUCUCUUAUUAGAAGAAUUUUUUGCAUCAGGAAAACUGACACGACGACUGGUUUCUUGAGCCUGCAGGUGAUGGCUCGGUCGCUGCCGUUGGACAAGCACACGCUGGUGACCAACCUGAGGGGCAUGUUCGGAGAGGUGGUGGCGGUGACCGGGGACGGCACAAAUGACGCGCCUGCGCUGCACGAGGCUGACAUCGGCCUCGCCAUGGGCAUUGCUGGAACAGAGGUUGCCAAGGAGAAUGCCGACGUGAUCAUCAUGGAUGACAACUUCUCGACCAUCAUCAACGUCGCCAAAUGGGGUCGUUCCGUCUACAUCAACAUCCAGAAGUUCGUGCAGUUCCAGCUCACGGUGAACGUUGUUGCCCUGAUGGUGAACUUCGUCUCCGCAUCCUUCACAGGAAGCGCCCCGCUGACCAUUGUGCAACUGCUGUGGGUGAACCUGAUCAUGGACACCCUCGGCGCCCUGGCACUGGCCACGGAGCCCCCCAAUGAUACGAUGAUGCAGAGGCCACCGGUCGGGCGAGGUGACAAUUUCAUCACCAAGGUGAUGUGGAGGAACAUCAUAGGCCAGAGCAUCUACCAGCUGAUCGUGCUCGGCAUCCUCAUCUUCAAGGGCAAGAGCCUCCUGCAGUUGAACGGCGAUCGAUCUGACACCCAGCUCAACACGUUCAUAUUCAAUACCUUUGUGUUCUGCCAGGUUUUCAACGAGGUAAACAGCAGGGAAAUGGAGAAGAUCAAUGUGUUCAGCGGCAUCUUCAGCAGCUGGAUCUUCUCGGCGGUCGCCGGUGCCACCGCGGCGUUUCAGGUGAUCAUCGUGGAGCUCCUAGGGACGUUCGCUAGCACGGAGCACCUGAGCGGGAGGCUCUGGCUGACAAGCAUUCUGAUCGGGUCGGUCAGCCUGGUGAUUGGUGCCAUCCUGAAGCUCAUCCCUGUCGAUUCCAGCAGCGACGCGUCUGAUCGCCGUGAUGGGUACCAGCCCAUCCCCACCGGCCCUAACGCCGUGUGAUGUCGAAGACGUUUCAUCAUUCUUUUUCCUUUUAGGAACAAGAGAAUUCAGCAGUUUUGAUUAUUUUAGGUAGGAGUGACGGUUCGUUGUUGCUGUUAGCUAUUUGAUCUUCAGUCUCUCGACCUUGUUGUCUUUCAGGCAAACAAUGUGUCUGAAUGUGGGUUAUAGAACCAAUGUUUGUAGCGAAUAACGGUAGAAUCUAAGUGAAUUUUUACAGGUCUGCAUUCUUCAUAUUGCAUUGCUGCUUGUCUUUGUAGCAAGUUUUGCCAAUCAUAGAAAAAAAAAUUCAGAUCAUAUUAUUGCAA